Molecule: ribosomal RNA, 459 nt
Filed under: uncultured bacterium
Lineage: Bacteria
Description: bacterial SSU rRNA
Rfam family: Bacterial small subunit ribosomal RNA
Source: RNAcentral
GAUGAACGUUGGCGGCGUGCCUAAUACAUGCAAGUCGAACGAAGACUGUAGUAAUACUGUCUUAGUGGCGAACGGGUGAGUAACGCGUGGGUGACCUGCCCCGAAGUGUGGGAUAACAGUUCGAAAGGAUUGCUAAUACUGCAUAAUAUCCAAGAGAUUAGACGCUUUUGGAUUAAAGGAGUAAUUCGCUUCGGGAGGGGCCCGCGUCCCAUCAGCUAGUUGGUAAGGUAAUGGCUUACCAAGGCGAUGACGGGUAGGGGACCUGAGAGGGUGGCCCCCCACAAUGGAACUGAAACACGGUCCAUACACCUACGGGUGGCAGCAGUAGGGAAUAUUAGUAAUGGGCGAAAGCCUGAACUAGCAACGCCGCGUGUGCGAAGAAGGCCUUCGGUUGUAAAGCACUUUUGUAGAGGAUGAGGAAGGACGGUACUCUCAGAAUAAGUCUCGGCUAACUACGUG